GAUGAACGCUGGCGGCGUGCCUAAUACAUGCCAGUCGAGCGAACAGAUGAGGAGCUUGCUCCUCUGACGUUAGCGGCGGACGGGUGAGUAACACGUGGAUAACCUACCUAUAAGACUGGGAUAACUUCGGGAAACCGGAGCUAAUACCGGAUAAUAUAUUGAACCGCAUGGUUCAAUAGUGAAAGACGGUUUUGCUGUCACUUAUAGAUGGAUCCGCGCCGCAUUAACUAGUUGGUAAGGUAACGGCUUACCAAGGCAACGAUGCGUAGCCGACCUGAGAGGGUGAUCGGCCACACUGGAACUGAGACACGGUCCAGACUCCUACGGGAGGCAGCAGUAGGGAAUCUUCCGCAAUGGGCGAAAGCCUGACGGAGCAACGCCGCGUGAGUGAUGAAGGUCUUCGGAUCGUAAAACUCUGUUAUUAGGGAAGAACAAAUGUGUAAGUAACUAUGCACGUCUUGACGGUACCUAAUCAGAAAGCCACGGCUAACUACGUG
RNAcentral lists this ribosomal RNA (497 nucleotides) under uncultured bacterium. RNAcentral's name for it is "partial 16S ribosomal RNA". It matches the Rfam family "Bacterial small subunit ribosomal RNA", at positions 28 to 507 of the family's 1533-position model. The record is from RNAcentral.